RNAcentral lists this ribosomal RNA (445 nucleotides) under uncultured bacterium. RNAcentral's name for it is "SSU rRNA". It matches the Rfam family "Bacterial small subunit ribosomal RNA", at positions 26 to 518 of the family's 1533-position model. The record is from RNAcentral.
AGAACGAACGCUGGCGGCAGGCCUAAUACAUGCAAGUCGAACGGAUGUAGCAAUACAUUAGUGGCGCACGGGAGAGUAACGCGUGGGAACCUACCUUUUGGUUUGGGAUAACGUCGGGAAACUGACGCUAAUACCAGAUAAGCCCUUCGGGGGAAAGAUUUAUCGCCGAUAGAUGGGCCCGCGUUAGAUUAGCUAGUUGGUGAGGUAAUGGCUCACCAAGGCGACGAUCUAUAGCUGGUCUGAGAGGAUGACCAGCCUCACUGGGACUGAGACACGGCCCAGACUCCUACGGGAGGCAGCAGUAGGGAAUAUUGGACAAUGGGGGCAACCCUGGUCCAGCCAUGCCGCGUGAAUGAUGAAGGCCUUCGGGUUGUAAAGUUCUUUGGUGGGACGAUGAUGACGGUACCACGGAAUAAGCCCCGGCUAACUUCGUGCCAGCAGCCGC